This 506-nucleotide ribosomal RNA is filed under the name uncultured bacterium. RNAcentral's name for it is "partial 16S ribosomal RNA". It matches the Rfam family "Bacterial small subunit ribosomal RNA", at positions 29 to 523 of the family's 1533-position model. The record is from RNAcentral.
AGUGAACGCUGGCGGUAGGCCUAACACAUGCAAGUCGAACGGCAGCACAGGAGAGCUUGCUCUCUGGGUGGCGAGUGGCGGACGGGUGAGGAAUACAUCGGAAUCUACUCUGUCGUGGGGGAUAACGUAGGGAAACUUACGCUAAUACCGCAUACGACCUACGGGUGAAAGCAGGGGACCUUCGGUCCUUGCGCGAUUGAAUGAGCCGGUGUCGGAUUAGCUAGUUGGCGGGGUAAAGGCCCACCAAGGCGACGAUCCGUAGCUGGUCUGAGAGGAUGAUCAGCCACACUGGAACUGAGACACGGUCCAGACUCCUACGGGAGGCAGCAGUGGGGAAUAUUGGACAAUGGGCGCAAGCCUGAUCCAGCCAUACCGCGUGGGUGAAGAAGGCCUUCGGGUUGUAAAGCCCUUUCGUUGGGAAAGAAAUCCAGCUGGCUAAUACCCGGUUGGGAUGACGGUACCCAAAGAAUAAGCACCGGCUAACUUCGUGCCAGCAGCCGCCGUAA